Molecule: ribosomal RNA, 274 nt
Filed under: uncultured bacterium
Lineage: Bacteria
Description: partial 16S ribosomal RNA
Rfam family: Bacterial small subunit ribosomal RNA
Source: RNAcentral
AUACGGAGGGUGCAAGCGUUAUUCGGAAUCACUGGGCGUAAAGGACGCGUAGGCGGGUUGGCAAGUCAGAUGUGAAAUCCUACAGCUUAACUGUAGAACUGCAUUUGAAACUGCUAACCUAGAGUAUGGGAGGGGGAGAUGGAAUUAGUGGUGUAGGGGUAAGAUCCGUAGAUAUCACUAGGAAUACCGAAAGCGAAGGCGAUCUCCUGGAACAUAACUGACGCUAAGGCGUGAAAGCGUGGGGAGCAAACAGGAUUAGAUACCCUAGUAGUCC